Molecule: small RNA, 70 nt
Filed under: Staphylococcus aureus
Lineage: Bacteria; Bacillati; Bacillota; Bacilli; Caryophanales; Staphylococcaceae
Description: HMPRNC0000_1753
Source: RNAcentral
ACAUUUUUUUCAUUAAAUUUGUUAAGUUCUAAAUUUUCAAUUAAUUUAGAAGAUGUUAUAGCUUGUUCAU